This is a long non-coding RNA of Corvus hawaiiensis (hawaiian crow), 136 nucleotides long. RefSeq lists it as uncharacterized. Lineage: Eukaryota; Metazoa; Chordata; Aves; Passeriformes; Corvidae. The transcript is spliced from 4 exons. The record is from RefSeq and is a predicted model, not a curated record.
GAGGCUCAGGAGUAACCUUAUUACUUUCUAUAAUUCCCUGAAAGGAAGUUGUAGCAAGAUGGGUGUCGGUCUCUUCUCCCAGGUAACAAGUGACAGGAUGAGAGGAAAUGUCCUCAAGGUGCACUAAUGAAGAUUU